ACAUCCCUACUCUCCGACUUUAAA
This 24-nucleotide small nuclear RNA is filed under the name Arabidopsis thaliana (thale cress). RNAcentral describes it as "snRNA_06717". Lineage: Eukaryota; Viridiplantae; Streptophyta; Magnoliopsida; Brassicales; Brassicaceae. The record is from RNAcentral.